UUGAUGUUCUAACGUGGACCCGUGAUCCGGGUUGCGGACAGUGUCUGGUGGGUAGUUUGACUGGGGCGGUCUCCUCCUAAAGAGUAACGGAGGAGCACGAAGGUUGGCUAAUCCUGGUCGGACAUCAGGAGGUUAGUGCAAUGGCAUAAGCCAGCUUGACUGCGAGCGUGACGGCGCGAGCAGGUGCGAAAGCAGGUCAUAGUGAUCCGGUGGUUCUGAAUGGAAGGGCCAUCGCUCAACGGAUAAAAGGUACUCCGGGGAUAACAGGCUGAUACCGCCCAAGAGUUCAUAUCGACGGCGGUGUUUGGCACCUCGAUGUCGGCUCAUCACAUCCUGGGGCUGAAGUAGGUCCCAAGGGUAUGGCUGUUCGCCAUUUAAAGUGGUACGCGAGCUGGGUUUAGAACGUCGUGAGACAGUUCGGUCCCUAUCUGCCGUGGGCGCUGGAGAACUGAGGGGGGCUGCUCCUAGUACGAGAGGACCGGAGUGGACGCAUCACUGGUGUUCGGGUUGUCAUGCCAAUGGCACUGCCCGGUAGCUAAAUGCGGAAGAGAUAAGUGCUGAAAGCAUCUAAGCACGAAACUUGCCCCGAGAUGAGUUCUCCCUGAGACUUAGAGUCUCCUGAAGGAACGUUGAAGACGACGACGUUGAUAGGCCGGGUGUGUAAGCGCAGCGAUGCGUUGAGCUAACCGGUACUAAUGAACCGUGAGGCUUAACCUUACAACGCCGAAG
Molecule: ribosomal RNA, 729 nt
Filed under: Salmonella enterica subsp. enterica serovar Braenderup
Lineage: Bacteria; Pseudomonadati; Pseudomonadota; Gammaproteobacteria; Enterobacterales; Enterobacteriaceae
Also listed under: 1 other name
Description: partial 23S ribosomal RNA
Rfam family: Bacterial large subunit ribosomal RNA
Source: RNAcentral